This 204-nucleotide long non-coding RNA is filed under the name Panax ginseng (ginseng). RNAcentral describes it as "long non-coding RNA (PGIN_LNC015029)". The record is from RNAcentral. Lineage: Eukaryota; Viridiplantae; Streptophyta; Magnoliopsida; Apiales; Araliaceae.
CCGUAUAUAUAUGUUGAAUUACAUAUUAUUGUUGAGCAAGAUUAAAAACCUUUGGGUUUGGAACCAGGCAUGUAUGAACAUCCCUAUAUGGGAAGAUUUUUGCGUAAGGCGGAUAGAGUGAGCGAUGAAUUUCGUUCAAGUUAUGUAGUAUUGAUCAAUAUAGGGUACAACGGGGCUGAUCACCCUCCGUGCCCAUAAGUUAUG